GUCUUUUUGAUAAUAAUUUAAGGUCUAAUCUGCUCAAUGAGGGGUUAAAUAGCCGCAGUAUUUUGACUGUGCGAAGGUAGCAUAAUAAUCAGUCUUUUUAUUGAGGACUUGUAUGAAUGAUUGAACAAGAAAAUUUCUGUCUCUUUUUAAUUUUUUUUGAAUUUAAUUUUUGAGUUAAAAUGCUCAGACGUUUUUAAAAGACGAGAAGACCCCAUAGAGUUUUAUUUUUAUUAGUUUUUAGUAUUAUUAUUUUAAGCAAAAAAUUAGUUGGGGCGACUAUAAGAUUAAAUAAACUCUUAUAAUUUUAAAUCAUUGAUUUAUGAAUAUAAAGUCUAAUUUUUUAAGUUUAAAUUAAAUUACCUUGGGGAUAACAGCGUAAUUUCUUUUUAGAGUUCUUAUCAAAUAAGAAGAUUGCGACCUCGAUGUUGGAUUAAAAUUUAUUUUGGGUGUAGAAGCUUGAAUAUUAAGUCUGUUCGACUUUUGAAAUUUU
This 490-nucleotide ribosomal RNA is filed under the name Pyrocoelia matsumurai. RNAcentral describes it as "partial 16S rRNA". It matches the Rfam family "Bacterial large subunit ribosomal RNA", at positions 1825 to 2597 of the family's 2925-position model. The record is from RNAcentral. Lineage: Eukaryota; Metazoa; Arthropoda; Insecta; Coleoptera; Lampyridae.